UACGUAGGGUCCGAGCGUUGUCCGGAAUCAUUGGGCGUAAAGGGCGCGUAGGUGGCCUGCUAAGCGUGCGGUGAAAGUCGGGGGCUCAACCCCCGAUCGGCCGUGCGAACUGGGAGGCUUGAGCACUGUAGAGGCAGGCGGAAUUCCGGGUGUAGCGGUGGAAUGCGUAGAGAUCCGGAAGAACACCGGUGGCGAAGGCGGCCUGCUGGGGAGUUUUGCUGACACUGAGGCGCGACAGCGUGGGGAGCAAACAGG
This 255-nucleotide ribosomal RNA is filed under the name uncultured bacterium. RNAcentral's name for it is "partial 16S ribosomal RNA". It matches the Rfam family "Bacterial small subunit ribosomal RNA", at positions 524 to 776 of the family's 1533-position model. The record is from RNAcentral.